UACUGGGUAGAUUGAUGAUUUUUACAGC
RNAcentral lists this non-coding RNA (28 nucleotides) under Bombyx mori (domestic silkworm). Lineage: Eukaryota; Metazoa; Arthropoda; Insecta; Lepidoptera; Bombycidae. The record is from RNAcentral.